This is a long non-coding RNA of Brassica napus (rape), 3545 nucleotides long. RefSeq lists it as uncharacterized. The record is from RefSeq and is a predicted model, not a curated record. The transcript has 3 exons. NCBI's taxonomy places the organism in Eukaryota, Viridiplantae, Streptophyta, Magnoliopsida, Brassicales, Brassicaceae.
AUUUUCUCAUCUUUUCGAGUUUAAUUGAUUUCUCUCCAAUUUUCCAAAUUCUUUAGAGCUUCUUUCCAAUUUGCAGCCCAAGGAUUUGGGGAUGUUGAUGCCAAUCUUUCUUCGUAAUAAUGCCUAACUUAAUUCGAUUUUUUUUGCCAGAUGUUGAUGAUGUUGCUCUCUGUUUCUCUCUGUUUGGAGAUUUGUGGAUGUGAGAAAUUCCACUCAAUCGCUGACCAUGAAUCCUCAUACGAUGACGGAACAGGAUGCUCCAGCGCGCGGCGGUACUGGAUCGAUACGGCAAGGCAGUUAGCAGAUUUGACGAUCUCGGUGACGUAGUUGUGGUAAAUGGGAGAGAAAGGUGACUCGAUGAUCCAAGCUCCGCCGUGGAUGUAGAUGAGAAGAGGUAGAUUAUUACCGGCGGUGGUUUUGUGAGGGAGGAAGAGACGGACGGAGAGGUUAUGCUCCGUUGAUGAUGUGAAUGUCAAAAACAAUGGUGGUCGCACUGCUCUUCAUUAUGCAGCAAGGGAUGGUUGGAAAUCACUCAGCUUUAUUUUAAAUCAAAUGAACGUGUGCCUACUGAGUUGAAGAAAUCAAUCAUGCAAGCCCGAGGGGAGAAGAAGCUCACCCAUUCCCAACUUGCUCAACUGAUCAAUGAGAAGCCACAAGUGAUCCAAGAAUACGAGUCUGGGAAGGCAAGGCUGGUCAGUUGAGUACAUGCUUACAGGUCAGAGAUAUACUCGGUCUAUCAUUGGAAGGUGAAUUUCAGUUUCCACUUACUAGUUUCUUUUCUUGCAAAAUUGAUAUACUGAGUUUAAUAGUAUCCAGGUCUGACCAGAAUAUACACUUGUUAGAAUUUGGGAAUAUGUGAUAGAUGUUAUUAUCUCUAAAACGAGAAAUUUUUGUUUCUUAACUAGAGUUCUGAUUUGAUGUGCAAUUUUAAAAUUUUUGUAAUGUUAAAAUUUUUGUUUUUAAGAACCCCUAAAUAAGAAAUUAGCAUUGGAGUGAAAAAUCAAGGUGUCUCUUAACUAGAGUUCUUAAUUACAUUUAAUUAGUAAAAUAUUUAUUAAGAGAUCUAAAUGGGUUUGUGGGAUAAUGAUGUUAUUAGUUUUCCCACUUUUUUUGCUUUAUUGAAAUUGUGAUAUUUAACAUAAUUUUAGUCCACUAGUCAACAUUUCAAUCACCCUUUUAUGCACCAACCCGUACCAACCAUACCAACGGUUCUACCAAUCAGAAUAUCAAAUAGUAUGACGAUAGACUCCUGAUUGUCUUAGACGAUUACUCUGAUAUCUAUAGAUUAAUAGAAAACCAUCAGCAUUCCGUCACAAGGCACUUUCGUUGAAAGAAAAAACAUUGUAAAGUAUAUAACAAAUCCACUACGCAUACGUCAUCCUCACCCGUCUCGAUAGUCGAUAUAAGUGUUCCUUUACCAGGUUUCAUGCAAAUUAUAAAAAUCAAAAAAAUUGUUUAUACUCAUAACAAAUACAUGCGACUCCUUGAACUUUUGUUAAAUUUCACUUUUUAUGACUCUAAAGUUACAGAAACUUAGAUAUGUCCAUAUAAAAUUUUAUAUUAAAUCCUUAAGAAGAUAUUUUAUGUAACAAAAAAAUCAGUAUAUAACAACAUUUAUUUUGAAACCAGAAGAAUUAUUAGGAUAUAGUGGGUCGAGUAAUUUUAAUGUUUUUCCAAAAUACAUAUACUGUUGUUUAAAUCACAUUAUUACAAAUGAUGCAAAAAAUGAUUUUGGACUAGUUUCCGGUGACUUAAAAACAAAGCUUUUCUCAUGGACCAUUUGGGUACAUUUGUCUAAUUUUUUUCUCAUGGACCAUUUGUUUGUUUUUUCUAAACUCGACGUUGUAGUUUUCUUCUUAAAAAAAAAUAAGCCCCACAUUUUUUAACCCAAUAAAAACCCUUUCCAGGAUGGAGCUACCCAUAACUAGUCAGGGGAAGAGCUACAACGGUUCAGAGACGCACACAUAAGAUACGUAUGAUAUAAUCUAUAAACGAAAAAUAGAUGAUAGAAAAUGUUCAUAGGUUUUUUUUUUUGUAACUUGACAUAAGAUACGUAUAAUAUAAUCUAUAAACGAAAAAUAGAUGAUAGAAAAUGUUCAUAGGUUUUUUUUUUUUGUAACUUGGCUUUCAUAUAUUAAAAUGCAUGAGAAUUAAAAUGUUUACAAGCCCAAAGCUAGUUUAAGUAGGUAAGCCCAGUUUUUGUUAAACCAGAAAUCAGAAAUCAAAAGAGUAAUUAAGCCCAUUAAACCAGUUGAUGUCCAUUAGGUAGGAGGUUACGGAGAGUGAAAGUUGCGGAGUUCGCAAAGGGCAGAGCGAUCGUGAGAGUCCCGAUCAUUCAGUUGAAAACCAAAUUUGCAUCAACUUGGAGCUUAUUGCUGGAUUAGAUGGUCUGAAGGAGGAGAUCCUGUUUGUGACUUGAGUGAUGAUGUUUUUUGUAAUGGAGUCAGUUGAGCGGAAGACUGAGCGGUGAAGACGAGAGUUGCGUUCUGUCCAGAUCGCAUAAAUAUGUAGUGUAGCCACAGGUUGGUGGGGUUCACUGAUAGGCAGUCCAGUUGCCCUGCCCUCUAAUCCACUCCACUCCAUUCCACGACUAUUUGUACAAAACGAAAUAUGAGUUCGUUCAUGUUGGCUAGCUUUGGCCAUUCCAGUUUUCUUAGUAAUUAAUGUAAGUGUAAAAUGCAACAAAAUAAAAUAGCGCAGAAGAUAUAUCAAGGGAUAAUGAAUAUAAGCAAACAUAUAUUAUCAUAUUAGAAAGCAAACACUUUUUGCUAUAUUAGAAAUUAUAUUAAACAAUUUUUUUUGCAAUAUUUGUUCAAUCAUGUUUACGCUAACGCCCUAUCAAUUGCUACCGAACGAUUUUUAAGUUAUAUAAAUUUAUGUUUCUUUGUGGUCUGAUACGUCAACCCUAACUACUCAAGAUGAUCCCAAGAGCACUUACCAAGAGAUUCUCAUUUUUCUUCCAUAAAAUCACCUUUCGGACAUGAUUGGUUCAGUACUUUAGAAGGUUUUGAUGGGCUGAUGGGGGAGAGGAAUGUUCGGGCUAGUCUCUCUCCUCUACAUGCGGAGGUGGAAGCGCUACUCUGGGCAAUGGGAUUUAUGAGAAACUUACAUCAAUUUUAGGUUACGUUUGCAACGGAUUGUUCUCAGUUGGUGAAGAUGGUUUCAGAACCAGAAGAAUGACCAGCUUUUGCAAGUUAUUUGGAAGAUUUAAAAGUCCUGAAAGAAAGUUUCCUUCGUUCAGAGAUUAUCUAUGUACCAAAGACGCAAAAUACGAAGGCGAAUAACUUAGCGCGCAGUGUCAGGAAGCAAACCGUCUUUUGUCAUUCACAUGGAUCAAGAUCUCCCGAUUUGGUUCACAGAAUCAGUAUGAACCUGUAUAAGUUGAUGACAAAAAAAAAAAUCACCUUUCGGUGUCUUAUCGUUUCUUCAUCAAUUUCUUGACCAUUUUAUAAUGUUUUCAUGUUCCCAGAAUCUUAAUCCAAAGAUCUUUAAGAAAUCCAUGAAUAUGUAUAACUUUCAUAUUAAUAAGUAUAUGUUUUUUUUUU